GAUGAAGAACGUAGCGAAAUGCGAUAAGUAAUGUGAAUUGCAGAAUUCAGUGAAUCAUCGAAUCUUUGAACGCACAUUGCGCCCGCCAGUAUUCUGGCGGGCAUGCCUGUUCGAGCGUCAUUACAACCCUCAGGCCCCCGGGCCUGGCGUUGGGGAUCGGCGGAAGCCCCCUGUGGGCACACGCCGUCCCUCAAAUACAGUGGCGGUCCCGCCGCAGCUUCCAUUGCGUAGUAGCUAACACCUCGCAACUGGAGAGCGGCGCGGCCAUGCCGUAAAACCCCAACUUCUGAAUGUUGACCUCGGAUCAGGUAGGAAUACCCGCUGAACUUAAGCAUAUCAAUAAGCGGAGGA
RNAcentral lists this unclassified non-coding RNA (351 nucleotides) under soil metagenome. RNAcentral describes it as "partial contains 5.8S ribosomal RNA, internal transcribed spacer 2, and large subunit ribosomal RNA". The stretch from base 1 to 120 matches the Rfam family "5.8S ribosomal RNA", at positions 35 to 154 of the family's 154-position model. The record is from RNAcentral.